This 497-nucleotide ribosomal RNA is filed under the name uncultured bacterium. RNAcentral describes it as "partial 16S ribosomal RNA". It matches the Rfam family "Bacterial small subunit ribosomal RNA", at positions 28 to 507 of the family's 1533-position model. The record is from RNAcentral.
GAUGAACGCUGGCGGCGUGCCUAAUACAUGCGAGUCGAGCGAACAGACGAGGAGCUUGCUCCUCUGACGUUAGCGGCGGACGGGUGAGUAACACGUGGAUAACCUACCUAUAAGACUGGGAUAACUUCGGGAAACCGGAGCUAAUACCGGAUAAUAUAUUGAACCGCAUGGUUCAAUAGUGAAAGACGGUUUUGCUGUCACUUAUAGAUGGAUCCGCGCCGCAUUAGCUAGUUGGUAAGGUAACGGCUUACCAAGGCGACGAUGCGUAGCCGACCUGAGAGGGUGAUCGGCCACACUGGAACUGAGACACGGUCCAGACUCCUACGGGAGGCAGCAGUAGGGAAUCUUCCGCAAUGGGCGAAAGCCUGACGGAGCAACGCCGCGUGAGUGAUGAAGGUCUUCGGAUCGUAAAACUCUGUUAUUAGGGAAGAACAAAUGUGUAAGUAACUAUGCACGUCUUGACGGUACCUAAUCAGAAAGCCACGGCUAACUACGCG